UGCCAGACUCCUACGGGAGGCAGCAGUGGGGAAUAUUGCACAAUGGGGGAAACCCUGAUGCAGCGACGCCGCGUGAGUGAAGAAGUAUUUCGGUAUGUAAAGCUCUAUCAGCAGGGAAGAUAAUGACGGUACCUGAGUAAGAAGCCCCGGCUAACUACGUGCCAGCAGCCGCGGUAAUACGUAGGGGGCAAGCGUUAUCCGGAAUCACUGGGUGUAAAGGGAGCGUAGACGGCUGUGCAAGCCUGAAGUGAAAGGCGGGGGCCCAACCCCUGGACUGCUUUGGGAACUGUACGGCUGGAGUGCAGGAGAGGUAAGUGGAAUUCCUAGUGUAGCGGUGAAAUGCGUAGAUAUUAGGAGGAACACCAGUGGCGAAGGCGGCUUACUGGACUGUAACUGACGUUGAGGCUCGAAAGCGUGGGGAGCAAACAGGAUUAGAUACCCCAGUA
RNAcentral lists this ribosomal RNA (446 nucleotides) under uncultured bacterium. RNAcentral describes it as "bacterial SSU rRNA". It matches the Rfam family "Bacterial small subunit ribosomal RNA", at positions 329 to 792 of the family's 1533-position model. The record is from RNAcentral.